CUGGCGGCGUGCUUAACACAUGCAAGUCGAACGAUGAAGCACCAGCUUGCUGGUGUGGAUUAGUGGCGAACGGGUGAGUAACACGUGAGUAACCUGCCCCUCACUCUGGGAUAAGCCUGGGAAACUGGGUCUAAUACUGGAUACGACCGAUUUCCGCAUGGAGUGUUGGUGGAAAGUUUUUGUGGUGGGGGAUGGACUCGCGGCCUAUCAGCUUGUUGGUGGGGUAAUGGCCUACCAAGCCGACGACGGGUAGCCGGCCUGAGAGGGCGACCGGCCACACUGGGACUGAGACACGGCCCAGACUCCUACGGGAGGCAGCAGUGGGGAAUAUUGCACAAUGGGCGAAAGCCUGAUGCAGCGACGCCGCGUGAGGGAUGACGGCCUUCGGGUUGUAAACCUCUUUCACCAGGGACGAAGCUAACGUGACGGUACCUGGAGAAGAAGCACCGGCUAACUACGUGCCAGCAGCCGCGGUAAUACGUAGGGUGCGAGCGUUGUCCGGAAUUAUUGGGCGUAAAGAGCUUGUAGGCGGUCUGUCGCGUCUGCUGUGAAAGACCGGGGCUUAACUCCGGUUCUGCAGUGGGUACGGGCAGACUAGAGUGUGGUAGGGGAGACUGGAAUUCCUGGUGUAGCGGUGAAAUGCGCAGAUAUCAGGAGGAACACCGAUGGCGAAGGCAGGUCUCUGGGCCAUUACUGACGCUGAGAAGCGAAAGCAUGGGGAGCGAACAGGAUUAGAUACCCUGGUAGUCCAUGCCGUAAACGUUGGGCGCUAGGUGUGGGACUCAUUCCACGAGUUCCGUGCCGCAGCUAACGCAUUAAGCGCCCCGCCUGGGGAGUACGGCCGCAAGGCUAAAACUCAAAGGAAUUGACGGGGGCCCGCACAAGCGGCGGAGCAUGCGGAUUAAUUCGAUGCAACGCGAAGAACCUUACCAAGGCUUGACAUACACCGGAAUCAUGCAGAGA
RNAcentral lists this ribosomal RNA (963 nucleotides) under Dermacoccus nishinomiyaensis. Its description in RNAcentral is "bacterial SSU rRNA". It matches the Rfam family "Bacterial small subunit ribosomal RNA", at positions 36 to 1006 of the family's 1533-position model. Lineage: Bacteria; Bacillati; Actinomycetota; Actinomycetes; Micrococcales; Dermacoccaceae. The record is from RNAcentral.